Molecule: ribosomal RNA, 1014 nt
Filed under: Triticum aestivum (bread wheat)
Lineage: Eukaryota; Viridiplantae; Streptophyta; Magnoliopsida; Poales; Poaceae
Description: partial small subunit ribosomal RNA
Source: RNAcentral
AUGGACGGUUGUAGAGCAAAUUCAGGAGGCAAUACAAACCGAUGGCGUAUCAUGUGGAUUGUUCAUGCUAACUUAUAUGGAAUACUGGACACCACAUGGACUGUCAAACUAGUUUACGCAGGAGGAUAUGAAACAUUUUCGACAAAACUAGCAAUUAUUUUGCUCGAUUCAGAGCUUAAUAAGUUAAAAAGAUGUCCCAUGUACCAUCAACCUGUCAACAAAGAAACUUUAGCUAAUUCUGAUCUUGAGAUCCUGGAUAAUCCAUCUGACGUGGUCGAAGAGAAACGUCCCGCCCCAAUCACUAUCAUUCUCACGGACCAACGUGAAAUACUUGCCGGCCUCUGCAACUACAUCAUGUCGAUUAAUGAUGCUGGAUCUUUGGAGAAGGUAUGGGUCCGGAGCUCCACACCCGAUCCAAUGAGCUUAAGUCUUAAGAAACUUCAGAGCAUACUUAACAUGGAGCAGCCCAUGGACAAUGAUUGCUUCAACACGGCCGUGCUUAUGCUGACAUGUGACGAGAGAGUAUUGUUCACAGACCCUCCUAUACACUACAUGGAUCUACGAUUUUGUUCCAUCCUGCUAGAGUCAACACGAGGUCAGAAGUUUUGUGAGAAGGAAACUAUCCAGACGUUGGCAACAUUAUUUGAUAGCUGGCCUGGGAUGGAGACCGACAUCUCAUCUUGCAAUAAGGAAUGUGUCUGGCUAUUUUGUUUUUCAUUUCAUGCUCUGGUGGAACGGAUGGGGCUAGUUUUUCAAGAUAGGGAGCUGAAAGUGGAGAAGGGUAUUUUGGUGCCCAUGCUCAUCUGCACCCGGGCGGGUGUAGAUGAGCUCAGAGCCGAGGACAUGGUAAAAUUCAGGAACACUGGGCCAGUGCACCCUCUCGCAACGGCGUUGACGGCGUCAGAAAAUCUUGGAUCAUACACCGUUGCAGCACUGGAAGCUUUUUCAGCUGCAAAUGGGGAGCAGAAACACACUCACGCACACACAUUUGCAUUUCCGGAGGCCACAAUCUGA